CCAGGGAGGGACAGAGUCCCUGGCAGAGAAGGAGGGGUGGACCUCACAUCGGUGACUUUCCUGAGCCACCAACAAGGCCCUCACCAGGUGUGUUCCCUGGACUUUGGACUUCCCAGCCUCUGAAACUGACAAGACUUGAUCCACAAAGACAAUGUUAUAAAGGUGUCUCCCUCGAGCCGUCUCUCUCCUCUAGGUUCCUGACACCUCUGUGAUGGCCCAGACAGGUCACAAUGUGUGUUCGCCCCCACAGGUAGCCAUGCACACCAGGAGAUAAGGCUGCUGUAGUCCAUCUCCCCUGUGCCCACAGCCGUAGCAUAAUAAAUGCUCUCUUCUGCUC
Long non-coding RNA from Cynocephalus volans (Philippine flying lemur), 337 nucleotides. RefSeq lists it as uncharacterized. Lineage: Eukaryota; Metazoa; Chordata; Mammalia; Dermoptera; Cynocephalidae. The transcript has 3 exons. The record is from RefSeq and is a predicted model, not a curated record.